GAUGAAGAACGCAGCGAAAUGCGAUAAGUAGUGUGAAUUGCAGAAUUCAGUGAAUCAUCGAAUCUUUGAACGCACAUUGCGCCCCUUGGUAUUCCAUGGGGCAUGCCUGUUCGAGCGUCAUUUGUACCCUCAAGCUCUGCUUGGUGUUGGGUGUUUGUCCACUCCCUGGUGUCUGGACUCGCCUUAAAGCAAUUGGCAGCCAGUGUUUUGGUAUUGAAGCGCAGCACAUUUUGCGUCUCCAGCCUAGAACGCUUGCGUCCAGUAAGCCUUUUUCCACUUUUGACCUCGGAUCAGGUAGGGAUACCCGCUGAACUUAAGCAUAUCAAUAAGCGGAGGA
RNAcentral lists this unclassified non-coding RNA (337 nucleotides) under soil metagenome. RNAcentral describes it as "partial contains 5.8S ribosomal RNA, internal transcribed spacer 2, and large subunit ribosomal RNA". The stretch from base 1 to 120 matches the Rfam family "5.8S ribosomal RNA", at positions 35 to 154 of the family's 154-position model. The record is from RNAcentral.